RNAcentral lists this ribosomal RNA (204 nucleotides) under uncultured Promicromonospora sp. Its description in RNAcentral is "partial 16S ribosomal RNA". It matches the Rfam family "Bacterial small subunit ribosomal RNA", at positions 974 to 1178 of the family's 1533-position model. The record is from RNAcentral. Lineage: Bacteria; Bacillati; Actinomycetota; Actinomycetes; Micrococcales; Promicromonosporaceae.
CCAAGGCUUGACAUGUACGAGAACGCCCCAGAGAUGGGGUUCUCUUUGGACACUCGUACACAGGUGGUGCAUGGUUGUCGUCAGCUCGUGUCGUGAGAUGUUGGGUUAAGUCCCGCAACGAGCGCAACCCUUAUCCUAUGUUGCCAGCGGGUUAUGCCGGGGACUCAUGGGAGACUGCCGGGGUCAACUCGGAGGAAGGUGGGG